This is a long non-coding RNA of Equus caballus (horse), 1771 nucleotides long. Lineage: Eukaryota; Metazoa; Chordata; Mammalia; Perissodactyla; Equidae. The record is from Ensembl.
CCUUUUUCUACUUUCUUGUAGUUGCUAGAAACCGUUGGUAUUCCUUGGCUUGUAGGUGCAUCACUCCAAUAUCUGCCUCUAUUGUCACCUGGCAUUAUCUCUGUGUGUCUCUGUGUUCAAAUUUCCCUCUUCUUAUAAAGACGCUAGUCAUUGGGUUAGGGCCCAUUGUAAUCCAGGAUGGCCUCAUUAAUUUGAUUACACCUGCAAAGACCCUAUUUACAAAUGAGGUCAUAUUCAGAGAUACUAGGAGUCAGAAGUUUAACAUAUCUUUUUGGGGAUACAAUUCAACAAUUUUAACGCUUGCUGUAGCUUUAAAUGGAAGGGGUUUCAAAGUUCUUAGGAGUCCUUGUUUUUGUCUUCCCAGGUAUCUCUUGUUUUCUCUAACACCUCCUCUUAAAUAGAGACUGACCCUUGCAGCUCUUUCAGCUGUUAUCCAUUGUUAAUACGCUUGAGCCCUGGUGAUGCAGUGGGAAGAAGUGGGAGAGGAAAAACCUUCUAUGAUAUUAUGAUUACGUUUUAGUGUUUUAGUAAGUCUUUGUCUCUGAACUGCAACCUUCACAAGUGUUUCUUCAUCCUCUCCUGUCUUACACUUGAAAAAGGAAGCCUAGAAGAAGCUGGAGCCUGGGACAUACCUUUCCACCAGCUGAUAUAAGGCUCUUUUUUGCCGGAAGGGCUUUGUUAUAGAGAACACUCCCAGCAUAUUUCAAAAUGGCUACUUUCCUCUUUUCCUGCCAGAGGGAUGAGCUUCAGGUUAUGCCUAAGAGUUCCAGCUUGUCUUUGCUGACGAUCUGCCCUAGAGAUCUCAGACUUGCGUAGACGGACCACGCAAUUAUCUUAGCCAGUCUCUCAGCACCUGUAUACCUUCACCCUCAAUGAUAUGGAUGUUCUACGGGAGAGGAUGAUGCCCUUCUUCAUGAAGCAAAACCUACACCUGGUCCAGGAGUUGGUCAACCUUAAGGAAGAACUCCAUCAGGGGCUAGAAGAGAUUCAGCUCUAGUUGCUGCCUUACACUAAUGGCAGGAGAGAAAAUUAUGUGAUGAGCAACAAUGUCUCAUGCUCUGCACUGUCUUUUAAGAACAAAGAAAAUAUGUCUGCUGCCUCACUUCCAUCGUCUACAUCUCAAAAAAAGUAUCCCUUUGGCCCAGAAUAAUAAGGACUAUGCAGGGAAAGGAAUUCUGGGAAAUGUAGCUGAAUUAACCCAACACAAAUCUACAAUAGUAUCCAGAACAUUUAAUACCAUUAUGAUACUAGUGUUGGCUAUUCGCAGUAGAUAGGACUCAUAGAGUUGAAAUAGUGUCCUGGAGACCACCUCUUUUACCUGGAUUGAGGCCUUUAGUUGUGGGGAGUUUGGGGAUCCAAGGGUAGAGCUCAGUAUGUUGAAGAAGAGCACUAGUGGGAGCAUUGAGACAGUAGCUAUGAAAUAACCUAUCCAUAAGUAUUUCAAAUUUUAACAACUCGUAUGACUGCAUUAUUUGCACCUGUAACAGUUCAACAAAUAUUUGUUGAAUAAACGAUGACUGAACAUUCCAAUGGUCCUGGUGUUCAGUAGAAUAAGUGUCCUUGCUCUGCAUUGCAUCUUCCAACUAAUUUAUACUCCUUUCUCCUUUCAAACUCCUAGUGUAAUGUACUUUUUCUAAUUAGCAUUUGACAUUGACUUUAAUUUACAUCUUGCUGUGGUGAUGGUACAUUUCAAAGAUUCCCCAGAUCACAAAUAUAAUGAUAAUGUAAUUAUUUCAAUGUAUUAAUUAGUUUACUAAUAAGUAUUUCAAAU